AGCGAACGCUGGCGGCAGGCUUAACACAUGCAAGUCGAACGGGCAUAGCAAUAUGUCAUGCGCAGACGGGUGAGUAACGCGUGGGAACGUACCUUUUGGUUCGGAACAACACAUUGAAACUUGUUCUAAUACCGGAUAAGCCCUUACUGGGGAAGAUCUAUCGCGGAAAGAUCGGCGCGCGUCUGAUUAGCUAGGUGGUAGCGUAAUGGCCUCUCAAGGCGACGAUCAGUAGCUGGGCUGAGAGAAUGAUCAGCCACACUGGGACUGAGACACGGCCGAAAAUACUGCGGGAGGCAGGAGAGGGGAAUAUAGGAAAACGGGCGAAAGGCUGAUGGAGCCCGGCUGGGUGAGUGAUGAAGGUGGGAGGGUAGUAAGGCUCUUUUGUGCGGGAAGAUAAUGACGGUACCGAAAGAAUAAGCACCGGCUAACUUCGUG
Molecule: ribosomal RNA, 435 nt
Filed under: uncultured bacterium
Lineage: Bacteria
Description: partial 16S ribosomal RNA
Rfam family: Bacterial small subunit ribosomal RNA
Source: RNAcentral